Molecule: ribosomal RNA, 1851 nt
Filed under: Escherichia coli
Lineage: Bacteria; Pseudomonadati; Pseudomonadota; Gammaproteobacteria; Enterobacterales; Enterobacteriaceae
Description: partial 23S ribosomal RNA
Rfam family: Bacterial large subunit ribosomal RNA
Source: RNAcentral
GGGUUGUGAGGUUAAGCGACUAAGCGUACACGGUGGAUGCCCUGGCAGUCAGAGGCGAUGAAGGACGUGCUAAUCUGCGAUAAGCGUCGGUAAGGUGAUAUGAACCGUUAUAACCGGCGAUUUCCGAAUGGGGAAACCCAGUGUGAUUCGUCACACUAUCAUUAACUGAAUCCAUAGGUUAAUGAGGCGAACCGGGGGAACUGAAACAUCUAAGUACCCCGAGGAAAAGAAAUCAACCGAGAUUCCCCCAGUAGCGGCGAGCGAACGGGGAGCAGCCCAGAGCCUGAAUCAUGUGUGUGUUAGUGGAAGCGUCUGGAAAGGCGCGCGAUACAGGGUGACAGCCCCGUACACAAAAAUGCACAUACUGUGAGCUCGAUGAGUAGGGCGGGACACGUGGUAUCCUGUCUGAAUAUGGGGGGACCAUCCUCCAAGGCUAAAUACUCCUGACUGACCGAUAGUGAACCAGUACCGUGAGGGAAAGGCGAAAAGAACCCCGGCGAGGGGAGUGAAAAAGAACCUGAAACCGUGUACGUACAAGCAGUGGGAGCACGCUUAGGCGUGUGACUGCGUACCUUUUGUAUAAUGGGUCAGCGACUUAUAUUCUGUAGCAAGGUUAACCGAAUAGGGGAGCCGAAGGGAAACCGAGUCUUAACUGGGCGUUAAGUUGCAGGGUAUAGACCCGAAACCCGGUGAUCUAGCCAUGGGCAGGUUGAAGGUUGGGUAACACUAACUGGAGGACCGAACCGACUAAUGUUGAAAAAUUAGCGGAUGACUUGUGGCUGGGGGUGAAAGGCCAAUCAAACCGGGAGAUAGCUGGUUCUCCCCGAAAGCUAUUUAGGUAGCGCCUCGUGAAUUCAUCUCCGGGGGUAGAGCACUGUUUCGGCAAGGGGGUCAUCCCGACUUACCAACCCGAUGCAAACUGCGAAUACCGGAGAAUGUUAUCACGGGAGACACACGGCGGGUGCUAACGUCCGUCGUGAAGAGGGAAACAACCCAGACCGCCAGCUAAGGUCCCAAAGUCAUGGUUAAGUGGGAAACGAUGUGGGAAGGCCCAGACAGCCAGGAUGUUGGCUUAGAAGCAGCCAUCAUUUAAAGAAAGCGUAAUAGCUCACUGGUCGAGUCGGCCUGCGCGGAAGAUGUAACGGGGCUAAACCAUGCACCGAAGCUGCGGCAGCGACGCUGAUGCGUUGUUGGGUAGGGGAGCGUUCUGUAAGCCUGUGAAGGUGUGCUGUGAGGCAUGCUGGAGGUAUCAGAAGUGCGAAUGCUGACAUAAGUAACGAUAAAGCGGGUGAAAAGCCCGCUCGCCGGAAGACCAAGGGUUCCUGUCCAACGUUAAUCGGGGCAGGGUGAGUCGACCCCUAAGGCGAGGCCGAAAGGCGUAGUCGAUGGGAAACAGGUUAAUAUUCCUGUACUUGGUGUUACUGCGAAGGGGGGACGGAGAAGGCUAUGUUGGCCGGGCGACGGUUGUCCCGGUUUAAGCGUGUAGGCUGGUUUUCCAGGCAAAUCCGGAAAAUCAAGGCUGAGGCGUGAUGACGAGGCACUACGGUGCUGAAGCAACAAAUGCCCUGCUUCCAGGAAAAGCCUCUAAGCAUCAGGUAACAUCAAAUCGUACCCCAAACCGACACAGGUGGUCAGGUAGAGAAUACCAAGGCGCUUGAGAGAACUCGGGUGAAGGAACUAGGCAAAAUGGUGCCGUAACUUCGGGAGAAGGCACGCUGAUAUGUAGGUGAAGUCCCUCGCGGAUGGAGCUGAAAUCAGUCGAAGAUACCAGCUGGCUGCAACUGUUUAUUAAAAACACAGCACUGUGCAAACACGAAAGUGGACGUAUACGGUGUGACGCCUGCCCGGUGC